AGAGUGAACGCUGGCGGUAGGCCUAACACAUGCAAGUCGAACGGCAGCACAGUAGGAGCUUGCUCUUACGGGUGGCGAGUGGCGGACGGGUGAGGAAUACGUCGGAAUCUACCUUUUGGUGGGGGAUAACGUAGGGAAACUUACGCUAAUACCGCAUACGCCCUUCGGGGGAAAGCCGGGACCAGCAAUGGCCUGGCGCUGAUAGAUGAGCCGAUGUCGGAUUAGCUAGUUGGUGAGGUAAUGGCUCACCAAGGCGACGAUCCGUUGCUGGUCUGAGAGGAUGAUCAGCCACACUGGAACUGAGACACGGUCCAGACUCCUACGGGAGGUAGACGAGUAGGGGUAAGUA
This 349-nucleotide ribosomal RNA is filed under the name uncultured soil bacterium. Its description in RNAcentral is "bacterial SSU rRNA". It matches the Rfam family "Bacterial small subunit ribosomal RNA", at positions 26 to 366 of the family's 1533-position model. The record is from RNAcentral.